GGGGAACUAGCUCAAAUGGUAGAGCGCUCGCUUUGCAUGUGAGAAGUACCGGGAUCAAUACCCGGGUUCUCCA
This 73-nucleotide transfer RNA is filed under the name Anneissia japonica. Its description in RNAcentral is "tRNA-Ala". It matches the Rfam family "tRNA". From Rfam's summary of the family: Transfer RNA (tRNA) molecules are approximately 80 nucleotides in length. Their secondary structure includes four short double-helical elements and three loops (D, anti-codon, and T loops). Lineage: Eukaryota; Metazoa; Echinodermata; Crinoidea; Comatulida; Comatulidae. The record is from RNAcentral.